GACGAACGCUGGCGGCGUGCCUAACACAUGCAAGUCGAACGGAGCUAUUGACUUCGGUUGAUAGCUUAGUGGCGAACGGGUGAGUAACGCGUGAGCAACCUGUCUUUCAGAGGGGGAUAACAACGAGAAAUCGUUGCUAAUACCGCAUAAGACCACACUGUCGCAUGGCAGAGGGGUAAAAGGAGCAAUCCGCUGAUUGAGGGGCUCGCGUCCCAUUAGAUAGUAGGUGAGGUAACGGCUCACCUAGUCUGCGAUGGGUAGCCGAGCUGAGAGGCUGAACGGCCACACUGGAACUGAGACACGGUCCAGACUCCUACGGGAGGCAGCAGUGGGGAAUAUUGGGCAAUGGGCGAAAGCCUGACCCAGCAACGCCGCGUGAGGGAAGAAGGUUUUCGGAUUGUAAACCUCUGUUCUUGGUGACGAAAAGAUGACGGUAGCCAAGGAGAAAAGCCCCGGCUAACUACGUG
RNAcentral lists this ribosomal RNA (467 nucleotides) under uncultured bacterium. RNAcentral's name for it is "bacterial SSU rRNA". It matches the Rfam family "Bacterial small subunit ribosomal RNA", at positions 28 to 507 of the family's 1533-position model. The record is from RNAcentral.